RNAcentral lists this microRNA precursor (90 nucleotides) under Tursiops truncatus (common bottlenose dolphin). Its description in RNAcentral is "miRNA (ENSTTRG00000021638.1)". Lineage: Eukaryota; Metazoa; Chordata; Mammalia; Artiodactyla; Delphinidae. The record is from RNAcentral.
AUGUGUGUAUACAUGCACAUACACAUACAUGUAUGUAUAUGUAUGUGUACACACACACACACACACACACACACACACACACACACACAC